UCCUUCCAGGGGUACAGGGCAUCGAAGUCCUCCGCCGACUUCGGACGCAGGUUCCACAUCUGCAGGAAGAUC
This 72-nucleotide transfer RNA is filed under the name Spirochaetia bacterium. RNAcentral's name for it is "tRNA-Arg". Lineage: Bacteria; Pseudomonadati; Spirochaetota; Spirochaetia. The record is from RNAcentral.